UUGAAUGAAACUUCUGGCUGGAUGCUGUUGUGCUGGCCGUUCUUUUUGGGGCAAUGUGCACACCUCUGGUCAUUUGUUUCUUUUGUUCCACCUGUGCACUGCCUGUAGACACACUCUGUGUCUAUGAUAUCUCACACAUACAUUAUGGAUGAAUGCAUAUUGGUUGGCAUUUUAUAUAAAUA
Molecule: unclassified non-coding RNA, 182 nt
Filed under: uncultured Amanitaceae
Lineage: Eukaryota; Fungi; Basidiomycota; Agaricomycetes; Agaricales; Amanitaceae
Description: sequence contains ITS1
Source: RNAcentral